GAUGAACGCUGGCGGCGUGCCUAAUACAUGCAAGUCGAGCGAACAGAUGAGAAGCUUGCUCCUCUGACGUUAGCGGCGGACGGGUGAGUAACACGUGGAUAACCUACCUAUAAGACUGGGAUAACUUCGGGAAACCGGAGCUAAUACCGGAUAAUAUAUUGAACCGCAUGGUUCAAUAGUGAAAGACGGUUUUGCUGUCACUUAUAGAUGGAUCCGCGCCGCAUUAGCUAGUUGGUAAGGUAACGGCUUACCAAGGCAACGAUGCGUAGCCGACCUGAGAGGGUGAUCGGCCACACUGGAACUGAGACACGGUCCAGACUCCUACGGGAGGCAGCAGUAGGGAAUCUUCCGCAAUGGGCGAAAGCCUGACGGAGCAACGCCGCGUGAGUGAUGAAGGUCUUCGGAUCGUAAAACUCUGUUAUUAGGGAAGAACAAAUGUGUAAGUAACUAUGCACGUUUUGACGGUACCUAAUCAGAAAGCCACGGCUAACUACGUG
RNAcentral lists this ribosomal RNA (497 nucleotides) under uncultured bacterium. RNAcentral describes it as "partial 16S ribosomal RNA". It matches the Rfam family "Bacterial small subunit ribosomal RNA", at positions 28 to 507 of the family's 1533-position model. The record is from RNAcentral.